CCUCCCUCAACCAAAUACAAAAAAAAAAAAAAGGCCAAACAUAACCACAACAACCAAAACUCAGAUGCGGGUUUUUAAAGAAAAAGAAACGUACGAAGCCUUCUUUCAAAAAUCCGAACAGUGGAGAGCGGCGGAAGAGGAUGAGGAACAACAUACUUUAAAAGCAAGCCAAUCAGACGGGUAGAACUGGAGAUCAGAGAAGGUAUAUUUCGAACUUUAGAACUUAGAAAGGAAUGUCGUAGAGUGUUCAACUUGGCUAAUCGGAGCUCCUGUGUGGGGGAGUACGGUGACACCGUCGCCAGAUUUUUUGCAUCAUGGGCGGCAGAGAUAAAAGAGAGGUAGAGAAUUUUUCUUCUAGUUUGAAGGUUAAAAAUGAAAUUAAAGAAAAAAAAACUUUUAUCAUGAAAGGGGUAAGACCCUACAGCCGCACCAUCACUUUUUUUUUCUUUUACAUUUUUUACUUUUUUAAGGAUUAAAUUACCCAAAAAUGUCGUUUUUUUUAAUUACUGAAAUAUAUCGAUUUUUGAAAUAUUUACGAGAAUAAGUCGAUUUAGAGAAAAACACUUUCAAUUAGAAGCUUUUUUAGGGGAAAUCUAGAAAAACGCUUCCAAGUGGAAGUGCCUUUUGCGUGUCACCAGUUAAACGCUUCCAACUGAAAAUAUUUUCCUCAUGUUAUAUUAGGGUUUUUAGUGUGUUAUGGUUUAGGGUUAAGGUUUUAAAGUAGGGUUUAGGGUUUUAAAUUUUAAAUUGAUAAAAAUUUUAACAUAAUAAUUUUGGAUGUUUCGUUUUUUGGGUAAUGGAGUUCGAUAGACUGUGUACACUUGAGAUAUAGGACUUGCGACUGUGGGAGAUUUGAUGCAUUUCGUUUUCCAUGCGCUCAUGCAAUUGCAGUGUGUAGAAAUUAAUGUUUGGGUUUUAUGAGUUUUGUGGACGAAGUGUACAAAUUAGAAAACUUGUAUAACGUGUGGAGACACGUAUUCCCACCAGUCCCAAAUGAACGUAUGUGGCUGUCUGUAUUGAGCGCUCUGUUUAAGUUGUUAUCUAAUAGGUCAUUACGUCACGAACCAAAAGGUUGAUCGACGCUGCCUCAAAUACUUGACAACAUGGAUAUUUGGAACAUGUCAAACCAAUCGAGGUUAUGUGGGUGGUGUCGAAAUUUGUGACAUACAAUGUUGUUAUGUCCACAUUGAAUGGACGAUGCAAACUAAAAGACAAAUAUCAAUUCUAUUGUAAUAUGUAAACGUGUGGUUCUAUAAAAUGAUAACAAUUAUCAACUUUCAUUUUGUG
This 1287-nucleotide long non-coding RNA is filed under the name Gossypium barbadense (sea-island cotton). Its description in RNAcentral is "long non-coding RNA (GBAR_LNC017801)". Lineage: Eukaryota; Viridiplantae; Streptophyta; Magnoliopsida; Malvales; Malvaceae. The record is from RNAcentral.